NNNCGGGGCGCGGGGUCGGCCGCCGCACGCCCGCGCGCCCCGGAGUACAAUGGGCGCCCAUUGUUACCGCGCUGGCGCCGCCCGCAGGGGGCCGCUAGGUCCCGAGCGGCGGCGCCCAGCUCCCUUGGCACAAAGGGAGGUCGCGGGACGCUUGCUUCAAAGAGCGACCCCGGGGUGCUGGCUCCCGGUGCCCGAGGACAAAGGGACGCCGCCCGCGCCCGGACACCUGCACUACACCUCGCGCCCCCCUCCCGGUCCGCACAAGCCAGUCGGGCGCGGCGGGCGGGGGACCCUGGAGGAGGCGCGGCCACCCCACCGCGCGGACCCUGCCAGCCCCGGGGCCCCGCCGCCCGGGCCCCCGGCUCCAGGGGCAGGUCGGGUUUUGUUGGUUUCUCGCUCGCUCCCUUUGGAGCUGCUGCCAAAACCCGGAGAGUGGAUUGGGCGUCCUGGCGACGCCCGGGGCUGCCCGCUGGGCGAGGGGCCUGCGAACCGCCGACGCUGCAGGUUUUUCCAGCCCGGGGGGAGGGGCUUCCUCUCCCGCGGGGUCCCUAAAGUCACCGGCCUGAAGCGGGGGCCGGCGGGUGGCGGCUGUCCCCGACGCGCGGCGCAAGGGGCGCAGCUGCCGGCCCGGGAGCCUAGAAUUGGGCCCCGGGAGGCACCUGCGCCCGCCGGUCAUCCCGGUGCCCGCCGCGGCACGCCCCGCCCCUCCGCCCGCAGGCUCGCCCUGGACCCGGUUAAUUAAUUUUCUUAAUCCGUCUGCGUCUCUUCCUUCUCGAGUCCUCCGCCUGGGUUAAUGAGUAGGCGACAGGAAAGGGCGGUGUUUUCCGGCUGCGAGGUCCCAGCCCGCACGGUCGGCCUGGGGAGGCGGCUGGAGCCCCCCGGGGUGGAGGGGGGUUGGAGGGGAGUCGGGCGCUCGGGGCCUGGCCCGGGCCCUGGGACUCUCGGGUUGGACGGAAAUCCUGGCACAAAGCAGAUACCCUGCAGAGGCCCUUGACUUUCCCGAGCGCGGUCAGCUUCAGGUCCUCGCGGCGACGCGCACCCC
This 1042-nucleotide long non-coding RNA is filed under the name Vulpes vulpes (red fox). Its description in RNAcentral is "lncRNA (ENSVVUG00000018866.1)". Lineage: Eukaryota; Metazoa; Chordata; Mammalia; Carnivora; Canidae. The record is from RNAcentral.